RNAcentral lists this small RNA (28 nucleotides) under Bombyx mori (domestic silkworm). RNAcentral describes it as "ovarian small RNA-24065". Lineage: Eukaryota; Metazoa; Arthropoda; Insecta; Lepidoptera; Bombycidae. The record is from RNAcentral.
UAUGUUUGUUCCUAGUGUUCACAUUGUG